RNAcentral lists this ribosomal RNA (435 nucleotides) under uncultured bacterium. RNAcentral describes it as "bacterial SSU rRNA". It matches the Rfam family "Bacterial small subunit ribosomal RNA", at positions 29 to 507 of the family's 1533-position model. The record is from RNAcentral.
AACGAACGCUGGCGGCAGGCUUAACACAUGCAAGUCGAACGCCCCGCAAGGGGAGUGGCGGACGGGUGAGUAACGCGUGGGAAUCUACCCCAUCUCUACGGGAAUAACUCAGGGGAAACUUGUGCUAAAUACCGUAUACGCCCUUUGGGGGAAAGAUUUAUCGGAGAUGGAUGAGCCCGCGUUGGAUUAGCUAGUUGGUGGGGUAAAGGCCUACCAAGGCGACGAUCCAUAGCUGGUCUGAGAGGAUGAUCAGCCACACUGGGACUGAGACACGGCCCAGACUCCUACGGGAGGCAGCAGUGGGGAAUAUUGGACAAUGGGCGCAAGCCUGAUCCAGCCAUGCCGCGUGAGUGAUGAAGGCCCUAGGGUUGUAAAGCUCUUUCACCGGUGAAGAUAAUGACGGUAACCGGAGAAGAAGCCCCGGCUAACUUCGUG